UACGUAGGGUGCGAGCGUUAAUCGGAAUUACUGGGCGUAAAGCGUGCGCAGGCGGUUUUGUAAGCCAGAUGUGAAAGCCCCGGGCUCAACCUGGGAAUGGCAUUCAGGACUGCGAGGCUCGAGUGUGGCAGAGGGAGGUGGAAUUCCAUGUGUAGCAGUGAAAUGCGUAGAGAUGUGGAGGAACACCGAUGGCGAAGGCAGCCUCCUGGGCCAGCACUGACGCUCAUGCACGAAAGCGUGGGGAGCAAACAGG
This 253-nucleotide ribosomal RNA is filed under the name uncultured bacterium. RNAcentral describes it as "partial 16S ribosomal RNA". It matches the Rfam family "Bacterial small subunit ribosomal RNA", at positions 524 to 776 of the family's 1533-position model. The record is from RNAcentral.